UACGUAGGGGGCAAGCGUUAUCCGGAUUUACUGGGUGUAAAGGGAGCGCAGACGGCUGUGCAAGUCUGAAGUGAAAACCUUGGGCUUAACCGAAGGAUUGCUUUGGAAACUGUAUGGCUUGAGUACCGGAGGGGUAAGCGGAAUUCCUGGUGUAGCGGUGAAAUGCGUAGAUAUCAGGAAGAACACCGGUGGCGAAGGCGGCUUACUGGACGGUAACUGACGUUGAGGCUCGAAAGCGUGGGGAG
This 245-nucleotide ribosomal RNA is filed under the name uncultured Syntrophococcus sp. RNAcentral describes it as "partial 16S ribosomal RNA". It matches the Rfam family "Bacterial small subunit ribosomal RNA", at positions 524 to 768 of the family's 1533-position model. Lineage: Bacteria; Bacillati; Bacillota; Clostridia; Lachnospirales; Lachnospiraceae. The record is from RNAcentral.